This 1586-nucleotide unclassified non-coding RNA is filed under the name uncultured fungus. RNAcentral describes it as "sequence contains 18S rRNA gene, ITS1, 5.8S rRNA gene, ITS2, 28S rRNA gene". The stretch from base 580 to 1586 matches the Rfam family "Eukaryotic large subunit ribosomal RNA", at positions 1 to 961 of the family's 3401-position model. The record is from RNAcentral. Lineage: Eukaryota; Fungi.
AGCUGGAUCAUUUUUCCGAUUUGGAAACAAUGUUUCAAACAACACUUGCGGCCUGCGCUCUCACAACUUCGGUUGGCGGGGGUCGGGCUUACAACAAAAACAAAACACACGCCAACUUUGUUGGUGGUGUGUCCUGCCGCUUCACGGGUUUCUCCUUUUGACUCCUGUGGAGCACGGCUCCCACAACGUGUCGCGAUGGAUGACUUGGCUUCCCAUUUCGUUGAAGAACGCAGCAAAGUGCGAUAAGUGGUAUCAAUUGCAGAAUCUCUUAUUUACCGAAUCUUUGAACGCAAAAGGCGCCCGGGAAGACGUUCUCUACGAACUAUCCCCGUGCAUGCCGUAUCGCUCAGUGUCGAAAACAAACAAAAUACCCGCAAAAAUUUUUUUUUUGCGAGUUGGAAUGAAAUGCAACAGAGUCCCACUUUUCCAUGGGCAAGUUGGCUUCACGGCUGACGUCCACGUGGGCGCUCCAUUCCGGGACCUUCCUUUCGGGGAUGCUCUCGGAGCAAAAUGCAACACAAAAAACACAGAAAGAAUGUCUCCCAACACGAGCACACUUUUUCAAAAGUUUUCAUUUUACAGACCUGAGUGCGGCAGGACCACCCGCUAAACUUAAGCAUAUUACUCAGCGGAGGAAAAGAAAACAACCGUGAUUCCCUUAGUCAGCGGCGAGCGAAGAGGGAACGAACUCGUUGCCGAAUCGGACCCUAUACGGUCUUGAACUGUGGCAAUUUUCAAGUUGUGCACAAUGGUUGGUGCGGGAUUGGCAAAAUUCAAGCGCAAAGCAAACCCAUUGCUGAAUGCAACCUUUCAUGAGAGUAUUGAGCCAAAGAAGGUGUUAGCCCAUUGAGCCAACAACCCAUGCGCCUCAUAGCACAGCUAAGAGAGUAGCACUGCUUGGGACUGCAGUGUAAAGCGGCAGGUAUGUGUCUGCCAAGGUUAAAUACAGAGUGGGAAGACCGAUAUCGAACAAGUAGCGUGAGCGAAAGUUUGAAAAGCACUUUGGAAAGAGAGUGACAUAGAACCUGAAGUCGCGACAAUGGCAAUGGAAGUGCCUCCAUUCCACUGGUCAAGACCAGCUUCGCAGCGAUUUCUUGGCGGACCAUUUCAACCCGUCGAGCAUUAUCUGCUGACCCGAAGUUUUGGUGAUUGAAACACGCGGGAGCAAGCGGAGUACCGAUUCCUCGGCGACAUUGCGCAAGCGUGCCGCAGGGUGAACGUUGCCCGUUUCCCGCUGGAUUCUCUCAAAAUUGACACUGAACGAAUGGGGUACUUCCACCCGUCUUGAAACACGGACCAAGGAGUCAAACAGACGCGCAAGGGGGAAGACUGAAAUAUUGAAAGCUUCUCUCGAACUGAAAGGGAGCAUGGUGUGCACAAGAAAUUGCUCAACACCAACCGGCCCGCACGCGGGUUGAGUUUGAGUGUGCCUGUUUGGACCCGAAAGGUGGUGAACUAUGCCUGAACAAGGUGAAGCCCGGGGAAACCCAGGUGGAGGCCUGUAGCGAUGCUGACGUGCAAAUCGCUCGCAAGAUUUAGGUAUCGGAGCGAAAGACUCAUCGAACCACCUAGUAGCUGGUUCACAU